Molecule: ribosomal RNA, 512 nt
Filed under: uncultured beta proteobacterium
Lineage: Bacteria; Pseudomonadati; Pseudomonadota; Betaproteobacteria
Description: bacterial SSU rRNA
Rfam family: Bacterial small subunit ribosomal RNA
Source: RNAcentral
GUGGCGAGUGGCGAACGGGUGAGUAAUGCGUCGGAACGUACCGAGUAAUGGGGGAUAACGCACCGAAAGGUGUGCUAAUACCGCAUACGCCCUGAGGGGGAAAGCAGGGGAUCGUAAGACCUUGCGUUAUUCGAGCGGCCGACGUCUGAUUAGCUAGUUGGUGAGGUAAUGGCUCACCAAGGCGACGAUCAGUAGCGGGUCUGAGAGGAUGAUCCGCCACACUGGAACUGAGACACGGUCCAGACUCCUACGGGAGGCAGCAGUGAGGAAUUUUCUGCAAUGGGCGAAAGCCUGACAGAGCAAUACCGCGUGAGGGAUGAAGGCUUACUGAGUUGUAAACCUCUUUUUUCAAGGAAGAAGAUCUGACGUUACUUGAAGAAUAAGCAUCGGCUAACUCCGUGCCAGCAGCCGCGGUAAGACGGAGGAUGCAAGUGUUAUCCGGAAUCACUGGGCGUAAAGCGUCUGCAGGUGGUUUUUUAAGUCUACUGUUAAAACUUGAGGCUUAACCUCAA